Molecule: non-coding RNA, 24 nt
Filed under: Mus musculus (house mouse)
Lineage: Eukaryota; Metazoa; Chordata; Mammalia; Rodentia; Muridae
Source: RNAcentral
UGAGAGAAGCCAGGAAACCCAACU